This is a non-coding RNA of Rattus norvegicus (Norway rat), 3917 nucleotides long. NCBI's taxonomy places the organism in Eukaryota, Metazoa, Chordata, Mammalia, Rodentia, Muridae. The record is from RefSeq and is a predicted model, not a curated record.
AGAAUAUGUGUGCUGCCGAAGCGAGCACCUUUCGACGUCUUUUAACAGCGAUGAUUAGAAAGUUCAGCCGGAUUGACAGUUUUAAACUGUCUGGCAAAGACUCAGACAUCUUAAAUAGCGCCAGCCUCUUAGCCAAGCUAUCGGAUUAAACAACCAGCUAGGGCUGGGGAAAUAGGGGACUCCCCCAAAAUGAUGUUCACACACCAACAGGCAUAAGAACAGUACGCGGCUUUCGGUAUGUUCCUUCAGGCGCAAGGUGUUUGGCAAGGCUACCGUUUAACCGCCAACUUAGCGCGGCGAUCCUAAGACCGUGAAAAGAAAGUUAUUUUCGAGCAUCAAGAGCUGCAGCCCAGCCAGGGCAAUGCCAGUCUGUGAAAACUUCAAGUCUCACUGCUCUUAUGUGAGGCACUCCACGGGAGUGCAUCACAGUGAGCCCGAUGAGCCGGAAGUCAGACCGGAAGUCAGAGUAUAAGGAUGCUGUGGGACGGAGUGUUGGAGAGGAGGGAACUGUGGGGAUUUAAGUGGGAGUCCUUGUGGUCCUCGGCUGAGGGACAGGGGCUGUUUGUUGAUUAAGGUGAGAUUCCCAAGGCAGGUGGAUACCCUGGGUUUGGGAUCCUGAUGGAGCUAUCUAAGAAUCUGAAGGAACUGGGAGAUGGUCAAGGAAGAAUCGAGUUAACUCACCUAUUUUAACAUUGGAAAUGUUCAGCAAAUGUAAUGGAAAGACUAUGUCUUAAGACUAUGUGUUUGUCCUGGGACAAGAACUGUAGUCUGGGACUCAGGAAACAAGAGUGGGCCCGCUUCAACAAGAAUAAAAAUUAAGCAGGACUACGGGCAUGUGGCAGUGACACUAGCUAUUUUCUAGAGCAAGUGGCAGUGCCCUUUAAAGAAUGACAGUAUUAUUUAGGCUACUAGAAAAAUAGGGAUCUCGUCGGGAAUACAAUAAAAAUUGUCAGACAUUGCAAGAAACAGAAGACAGCUACUCAAGAAAAAAAACCAAAUGAAGCUCAUAGACGAGCCGGCAUAUUUAAGAACUUAAGGUAGAUUUAACGCGAAGAUUAACAUUUACACUUGGAUUGUUUUUAUAAUGUGUAGAGCAUAAAUAUCUAAAUUAAAGAAUUACUUGGGGUCCCUUGGUUUUCAGACCGGAAACAAGACAAGAAUGUCCACGCUUGGGCCCCUGUUCAACACUCUUGUGGUGCUCUUAGGCACUUAAGUAUCAGAUGUCAACUUGGCAAUUGGAUUUAAAAAUCGAAGAUUGGGGAGUGCGGGAGGGGGUGCUGGGGGAUGGUGGUAAUGGCUCAGAGAAACAGAUUUUUAAGAGAUGGAGAAAAGGUGUGGGUGGAUGAGACCCUAGAAGAACUGAAGGAAGGGAAGGUCUAGGGCUAAGGAUGAGUCCACAGCUGAUCAUAGUUCCUGAGAGUAUGAAAGGAGGGAACCCCUGGGCCUACACUGUGCUGUGCGCUAUGUAGAGAGCAGUUUCUCGCUCUGCGCAAUGAGCGGCCGAGGCCGCAAGGGAUUGUGGGAGACUCCGUCUGGUGGCCGACCACGUCCGUCCGUCUUCCGCAGGAGGCACUUCUGUGGUAAAUUCCAGGGCUGUCUGUCUCCUCUGCUGACUCUGUAUGCUUUAUUACCUGGUCCAGUCUCCAGGCCAGGCCUGUCGUGCUCCGGGGUUCUGUAGAAACAGGAAUGCUCGAAUCCAUCACCAUCAACACUGUGCUGUCAGCCUUGGAGCUCCUGUUGAUGUUCCCGCGCCCGUUCCCGCAGCCCCGCCCCCAGCCUCAAGAAGGCGAAACCACCAGGCAUUUCGCAUGGCCCUGGGACAUUGAUGACUACUGUAAAAUAUGGAGCCAGAUGGAUUUACAUUUUUCUCUUCAAGAAGACAAAACAUAGCUUGCCUCUGCUAAGAUCUUAUCUGUUUAAUGAGCAGAGGCAGUAUAAUUAAGGCUUUUUCUCCACGGCUGUAGACGUGCCAGACCUGCUGGAAACUUCGUUUGGCUUUCAUAAAUCAAGUCAGUUUGGACCUGGAUGUACUCAGGGGCCGGUUCUGCCCUGUGUUCAUGGAGGUUGUCACAGUGGUACCUUGUUUUCUCACAGCUGACCUGUCCCUGACCACAGAGAAGCUUCUUGGAUACUGUUGACCAUGGCCGGAUGGCCACUCUUAAGGCUAAGGCAGACCAUGGGGUGAAGGAGUGUGGCUGGCCAGUGGGUAGGGUGAGGGGGCCUCAUCAGGGUUCUGAGAAUGAGCCCUCCACCUUUGGGGAUCUGGCACUGUCCUGUGUGGGGUAGACCUUGGCCAGUGAGCAGACCUCACUUUGGUGGCUUUCUUGGCUCUGUUGGUAUGAGAAGUCUGAAAGUUUCCCCCAAGAGCCUAGUGAAUUAACUGUAUUUGCAAUUUGCAUUCUAAACAAGCCGCGUGGACCAAAUAUGCUGGCUGUAUUGUUUUCUUGGCUCUCGUUCACUUAUUAAUAAUGUGUUGUUUUUUUGGGAAAUAGCCCUUAACUCUGUUGGCUUGGAAGAGGAAUCGGAGGGAAAAAUGUCAUGCUGAAUUCUGCACUAGAAUCCAAAGCAACACAUGUGCGGGAGUGAUCUGGUCAAACAAGGUUACGGUGUCCUAAAACCCUGUGACGAGCAGGUCCAAACGGAAGGUGGACCGUAGAUGUGGGAUUAUUAUCCCAUUUUCCAGAUGCGGAAAUUAAGGUCCAGGGAGCUGGAUAACACAGACAUGGAAGAGGCGGAUGGAUUAGUAUCUGGUUACCAUGCUAUGGAGGGCCAAGGUGUUCUGAUAGGCUUCUGCAAACAAAGGGCUUCAACAAGCGGCAGAUGAGAAAAGAAGUCGUCUGCAUCAGGACCAGCCUCCCUCCGCACGGUGUUGCCGUGUCGGAAGUUCUGAUGUGAGAGCCUGGCAUCUGGAAGAGAAGUAGAUGUAAGGUGACUUGAGAUAUCCUGGAGCUUCAGGCCCUAGAGCAUCAGACUGUGAGAGCUACGGGGAGCUGGGGCAGCAAUGGCUGCCGUCCCAGAGCAGGCGAGAUUGCGGGAGAUAUCUGACUAGCCUUUCCGAUGGCUCUGCGACCUUCUGACAUCCAUGAUGUAGCCAGUAUUUGUUCCGUGUGCCUGUAACUGCCACCAUCCCAGAGGCCUAUGCAUGUCUCUGGUCUUUACCACAGCCCUGCCAAGCAGCUUAAACAUCAAAACUCCAUCGGGCCAGACUUCCUCUUCCAGACCGCUGAGCUAAUAAUGCUCGCUGAAGCCGGGAGCCAGCACCAGGUCUGUGGACUGCAAAGCCCUACUCUUCAUGCGACGUGAAGGGCAUGUCACGGGAGACUAUUCAAGAGAGGAAGACUGACUUCCUGCUCAUCUUCCCCACAGAAAGGCCACUUUGGUGUGAGUCAAUAGUGAGACCGUUACCAGCUCUGGUUUACCGUGGCCUGCGUGGAGUCUGUGGGGGUAUCUCGAUCAUCUCCCAUCCACCCCCAUUCUAACGCAGACAGAGGCUCUGCUCAGGUACACACCGGGUCUGAAACCGGCUUUCAUCCAAUUAACGGGCAACAGGAGUAUUGAGACGGCUCCAAGAGUCAGGACUCACGGACAAUUUCUCUUUGUGUCUUCUGGUGGUGGUUGGAGUUUACAGAUGGGAAGCCACAGCUGGCUUCCCCCUUUCUCCGAGGGGCCCCGAUAGCCAGUCAACUGAGUUUUCCGUUGUCAUUUUUCACAGGUUUAUUAGCUGUCGGCUACCACGUUGUGUUAUUUCGUUCACAUGAUCAUUCACUGAGCGUGAACAUACCCUGGAGCGCCUCAGCUGUGGCCAUGUUCACUGGACGCUAGGAACUGGCUCAAAGUUGGCUGCGUAUGUGUGAAAUGAGAAAGAGGCUUUUGUUUGUUUGUUUCCUAGUCAGACACAUCAACCAUUGAGAACAAAA